RNAcentral lists this ribosomal RNA (357 nucleotides) under Apotolamprus hanskii. Its description in RNAcentral is "partial 16S ribosomal RNA". Lineage: Eukaryota; Metazoa; Arthropoda; Insecta; Coleoptera; Scarabaeidae. The record is from RNAcentral.
ACCUGCCCUAUGAUUAUUAUUAAAUGGCUGCGGUAAUUUGACCGUGCAAAGGUAGCAUAAUCAUUAGUUUUUUAAUUGGGAACUGGUAUGAAAGGUCGAACGAAAAAAAGACUGUCUCAAUUUAAUUUAAAUUAGAAUUUUAUUUUUAAGUAAAAAAGCUUAAAUAAUUUUAAAAGACGAGAAGACCCUAUAGAGUUUUAUAUUUAAAUAUUUAUAUAAAAAAUUAAAGAAUUUUUAUUUUUUAUAGAUAUUUAAAUAUUUAAUUGGGGCGAUUAAAAAAUUUAAUUAACUUUUUUUAAAUUUAAACAUUGAUUUAUGAGUAAUUGAUCCAUAUUUAAUGAUUAUAAGAUUAAAUUA